Molecule: transfer RNA, 71 nt
Filed under: Schistocephalus solidus
Lineage: Eukaryota; Metazoa; Platyhelminthes; Cestoda; Diphyllobothriidea; Diphyllobothriidae
Rfam family: tRNA
About the family: Transfer RNA (tRNA) molecules are approximately 80 nucleotides in length. Their secondary structure includes four short double-helical elements and three loops (D, anti-codon, and T loops).
Source: Rfam by way of RNAcentral
GAGCACUUGGCUCAAUGGUAGAGCGUUCGACUCAAAUACCAAAGGUCUCAGGUUCGAAUCCUAGGUGUUCC